Non-coding RNA from Camellia sinensis, 2365 nucleotides. The record is from RefSeq and is a predicted model, not a curated record. Lineage: Eukaryota; Viridiplantae; Streptophyta; Magnoliopsida; Ericales; Theaceae.
CCUAACAAACCAGCAACUCUCUCUCUCUCUCUCUAUAUAUAUUUUCAGCGUUUCUCUCUCUCUCCGCUCCUCCUCUCCCCUCUCCUCCCCUCCCUCUCUCACCGCUACUUCUCUUCGUGUUUGCCGCCAACUGGAGCACCUCCACCUCCUCCACCACCAUUGCAAUUGUGAAGAGGGAAGACUAUAAAUGCACCAAACAUGACUCUGGUUUCUCCGAAUGGAAGCAAGUGAAGUGGCUGGUUAUGGUUAUGGUUAUGGAUUUCGUCCCCAAAAUCUAUCCUCUCAUUUCUGCUUCCCAACUAAGGUUCCAAGGUUAUCUAUGCUAGUAGAGCAUAGAAGAAAGAAGAGUGCGAGCAUAUUUUACAUCAUUAAUUUGAGGGGAAACGAAAGGAGCAAAUAAUAAAAUACUAGGGUUCAAAUGUCUAUGUCAAGAAUUUUGAUGAUGAUGUCAUUGAUGAUGAGCUGCGAGAACACUUCAGCCAGUGUAGCACGAUCACCUCUACAAAACUAAUGCGAGAUGAAAAAGGAACCAGCAAGGGGUUUGGGUUUGUCUGCUUCUCAACACCUAAGGAGGCCAAUAAAGCUGUGAACAAUUUUCAUGGUGAGUACCAUGAAUAUAUAAGCUUAUAGAUGUGAUGUGAUGUAGAUGUCGUUGAACUAAAAUGCAUUAACAUUCUUCAACUUGGUCAUGCAAAUUGGUUGAUAUGUUUUGAUCUGAAAGAAGCUAUUAUGCUAAUGUUUAAUUCUGUAUAAUGGAAUAAUAUAAAUUGCCAUUUGAAUAGUAUACGUGACUGUGGAUAAUGGAAUAGUGUAUCAUUAACACAACUAGGUUUUUGUUCCUAAUUUCGAAUUUGAUAACAAUUUAAUUUUUUUAUUUUGAAGAAGCAAGAUUCCUUGAAAGUUAGAAGAAAAUUUCUCUCUGUGUAUGAGUAGAAAAUUCCUUGAAAGUUAUGAUUUAGUGUACCCUUGUUAUGAUUUUACAAGUGAAAUGGUUGUUAGUUUAGAUCAUUAUUGGCUUUAGUUCAAUAAAUUUGUUACAAUAUGAUGCAUGUUUGUGUGAUCCACCAAUGAUGUAUUCUCAUUUACUAAAUAAUCAAUACUUGAAGAAAUCUAUUUGCAUCUUUUUUUCCAUUUCAUUUUCUGAAAAACUCAUCUAGGGGCUUUCAUGACUGGACUUUGUCCAAAUCCCAGUAUUUGAGGUUGAGAGCUUGUCAACAACAAUCCUAUACACAUUACUUCUAUGAAGUUACUGUUAGAGCUGGGCUUCCAAUCAUUAGCACUUUACAAGGUGUCCUUGAAACUUGGGACAAGAUAUUGCGGAUUGAAGGCAUUUUUAGGUUGGUCAUACUGGUUUUCUCAACUAAUAAAAACAGAAAGUUGCUGAUAUAUGAUUGAUCACUAUGGCUAACCAAGUAUCUAAGAUGUCUUUGCUUUUCUAGGAACCCAAGCAAGAACUAUAUCAAGUAAUAUACCUGUCCUAAACCAUUAUGAUUCUUUUUUCAGUCAAUCAAUUGUUUUAUAAUCAGUCACUUGGCAAGCACAUGUUUCAGAACAAGUUGUAACUACACAUUCUUCACUAGUUCAAUGCUUAAUUUGGUAGCAUUUCUCUUUUUAUUUAGUCAAAUACUUUGCUCAGAGUACAUAUCAUUCAACCAUGAAUUUUCUUUCAUGAAUUCUUACAAAGUUAGAAUACUUUUACAAAUGCUUGAAGUACAGUUGACAGUUUGAAGUCAUCACCACUAACCCAAUAGAUAUCAAGGGCCUUUCCUUGGAUUGAUGAUUAGUGGGAAUUUACACAAGUCUCAUUCACUCAUAAUGGAAAUAAGAGUACUUUUGCUCAUCUUGGUGUCAUUUGUUACUUUGGGUGUUGGUUCAUGUUUUUUAUUCGAAAUUUAUGUUCAUCUUUGUGUCACUGGAUUCCUUCUUAAUCUUUUUCCACAUUUGGAUUCUUUGCUUAAAACAAUUUUGUUAGAUGAGAAAUUAACAGGUAGAUGAGAAUGACGCAGAGUUACCUGAUUUUUGCAAAUACUAUGAGAAGUCUCACAAGUUGAACAAGACAAAUAACUGGAUUGAUUCCCGAUGCGGUGACCUACAUGUAAGAAUUUAACAAUAGAAUGAGAUGGAGACCUUUUUCUAACAUAUCCGAAGCUGCAUCAACAGCACGUGAUAAGAAGAUGGAGACCCUAAUAUGUUUUUUUAUUAAGAUUUUCAUUAAUUUGGAUUUUAAUUGUUGGUUUGGAUAGUAUAUGUAUUUGUUGGAUUAUACUAUGUUUAUGGAUUCUUAUUUUCUUUGAUAUGUACGGUUAAUAGUUAAGUUUUGUAUGUGGUUGAAAAUUGAAUGGUACAGGUUGUGGAGAACUAUUUU